CAGGCCGCCGCCCGCCCGCGGCCGACCGCAGACGCGGGCCGAGCAGCGGCGGGGGCUGUUUGGGGCCGGCCCGCCAGCGGAAGGCGCCCCCCGCCCCACCUCCGCUCUGACGGAUGAAAACUGAGGCUCAGCUUUGCCUUCAGAGCUGGAACUCUGCCCAUGCCACAACGGUGGCAGUGAUGCUGGGGCCACUCGCCUGCACCAGACCCACUUGAUCAGAUCAUGUCACGCUCCUGUUCACACCUCUGCACUGGCUUCCCAUGGUGCUCAGUGCAAAAGUUAAAGUCUUCGCAUGGCCACCAGGCCUGAAUGCCCUGCACCCCCAUCUCUCUCUCUGAUAUCAUCUCCCUUUACUCUCUUAUUCAGCCACACCGACCUCCUUGCUCUUCUCCAAAUAUGUCAGGCACGCUACCAUCUCAGGCCAUUUGUACUUCCUGUUCCCUGUGCCUGGAAUGCUCUUCUUGCAGAUAUUCACAUGAUUAGUCCCUCACCUCCUUCAGGACUUAGCUCAAAUGUUACCUUCUCUGUGAGGCCUUCCCUGACCAUUCUAUUUAAAAUGGAACCAUUGCCCUCAUUCUCCCAAUUCCUUUGCCCUGCAUUAUUUUUUCCAUAGCACUUGUUAUCUGACAUGCUGUAUAUUUUGCU
Long non-coding RNA from Balaenoptera musculus (blue whale), 645 nucleotides. RefSeq lists it as uncharacterized. The transcript is spliced from 3 exons. The record is from RefSeq and is a predicted model, not a curated record. Lineage: Eukaryota; Metazoa; Chordata; Mammalia; Artiodactyla; Balaenopteridae.